AUUAAAGGGUUUACAUUUUUUAUAGUUUUAUUCCACUUUUACAUUCAAACAAGACAUGUUUACGGGAAGUAGAUAUACCAUGAACUAAGCAAGCUUCUGUAGAAAUAAAGUCAUAAGUAUAGACUAUAGAACUGAAGUCAUGGCUACCAUAAGAUUAUGCAUAUGUGACAAGACUAUGGUUAAUUCACAUCUGAUAAAAACAUCAUUUUUCGCAGAUGGCAGAAAU
This 226-nucleotide unclassified non-coding RNA is filed under the name Hevea brasiliensis (rubber tree). Lineage: Eukaryota; Viridiplantae; Streptophyta; Magnoliopsida; Malpighiales; Euphorbiaceae. The record is from RNAcentral.